Molecule: ribosomal RNA, 490 nt
Filed under: uncultured bacterium
Lineage: Bacteria
Description: bacterial SSU rRNA
Rfam family: Bacterial small subunit ribosomal RNA
Source: RNAcentral
GACGAACGCUGGCGGCGUGGAUUAGGCAUGCAAGUCGAACGGUAUCAUCCUUUCGGGGAUGAGAGAGCGGCGAACGGGUGAGUAACACGUAGGUGAUCUACCCUCAAGACGGGGACAACCCAGGGAAACUUGGGCUAAUACCGGAUGUGAGCUAUCGUGAGAUAGUUUGAAAGGUGGCUUCGGCUGCCGCUUGAGGAUGAGCCUGCGUCCUAUUAGCUAGUUGGUGAGGUAACGGCUCACCGAGGCAGUGAUAGGUAGGCGGCCUUAACGGGUGGUCGCCCACACUGGGAUUGAGAUACGGCCCAGACUCCUACGGGAGGCAGCAGUCGAGAAUAGUCUACAAUGGUCGAAAGACUGAUAGUGCGACGCCGCGUGAACGAAGAAGCCCUUCGGGGUGUAAAGUUCUUUUAUAUGUGAGCAGUGACAUCUAUAUUAAUAGUAUGGGUGUAGAGAUAUUAGCAUAUGAAUAAGCAACGGCUAACUCCGUGCC